CCCUUAGAUGUUCUGGGCCGCACGCGCGCUACACUGACGGAGGCAGCGAGCGUGUCCUUCGCCGGCAGGUGCGGGCAAUCUUGCGAGUCUCCGUCGUGCUGGGGAUAGAUGGUUGCAAUUGUCGAUCUUGAACGAGGAAUUCCUAGUAAGCGCGAGUCAUCAGCUCGCGCUGAUUACGUCCCUGCCCUUUGUACACACCGCCCGUCGCUACUACAGAGUGCCCGUGUCCAAGAAACGGUCGGACCUGUGCGGCCUCUCCGGGCGACCGGAGGGCCGUUACGGGGAAGACCCUUUAUUUGACGCGGGUCGAUGAAGUAAAAGUCGUAACAA
RNAcentral lists this ribosomal RNA (330 nucleotides) under uncultured eukaryote. RNAcentral describes it as "partial 18S ribosomal RNA". It matches the Rfam family "Eukaryotic small subunit ribosomal RNA", at positions 1470 to 1797 of the family's 1831-position model. The record is from RNAcentral.